This 497-nucleotide ribosomal RNA is filed under the name uncultured bacterium. Its description in RNAcentral is "partial 16S ribosomal RNA". It matches the Rfam family "Bacterial small subunit ribosomal RNA", at positions 28 to 507 of the family's 1533-position model. The record is from RNAcentral.
GAUGAACGCUGGCGGCGUGCCUAAUACAUGCAAGUCGAGCGAACAGAUGAGGAGCUUGCUCCUCUGACGUUAGCGGCGGACGGGUGAGUAACACGUGGAUAACCUACCUAUAAGACUGGGAUAACUUCGGGAAACCGGAGCUAAUACCGGAUAAUAUAUUGAACCGCAUGGUUCAAUAGUGAAAGACGGUUUUGCUGUCACUUAUAGAUGGAUCCGCGCCGCAUUAGCUAGUUGGUAAGGUAACGGCUUACCAAGGCAACGAUGCGUAGCCGACCUGAGAGGGUGAUCGGCCACACUGGAACUGAGACACGGUCCAGACUCCUACGGGAGGCAGCAGUAGGGAAUCUUCCGCAAUGGGCGAAAGCCUGACGGAGCAACGCCGCGUGAGUGAUGAAGGUCUUCGGAUCGUAAAAAUCUGUUAUUAGGGAAGAACAAAUGUGUAAGUAACUAUGCACGUCUUGACGGUACCUAAUCAGAAAGCCACGGCUAACUACGUG